GACGAACGCUGGCGGCGUGCUUAACACAUGCAAGUCGAACGGAAAGGCCCUGCUUGCAGGGUACUCGAGUGGCGAACGGGUGAGUAACACGUGGGUGAUCUGCCCUGCACUUCGGGAUAAGCCUGGGAAACUGGGUCUAAUACCGGAUAGGAGCCAUUUUUAGUGUGAUGGUUGGAAAGUUUUUUCGGUGUAGGAUGAGCUCGCGGCCUAUCAGCUUGUUGGUGGGGUAAUGGCCUACCAAGGCGGCGACGGGUAGCCGGCCUGAGAGGGUGGACGGCCACACUGGGACUGAGAGACGGCCCAGACUCCUACGGGAGGCAGCAGGGGGGAAUAUUGCACAAUGGGCGCAAGCCUGAUGCAGCGACGCCGCGUGGGGGAUGACGGCCUUCGGGUUGUAAACUCCUUUCGCUAGGGACGAAGCUUUUUGUGACGGUACCUAGAUAAGAAGCACCGGCUAACUACGUG
This 465-nucleotide ribosomal RNA is filed under the name uncultured bacterium. RNAcentral's name for it is "partial 16S ribosomal RNA". It matches the Rfam family "Bacterial small subunit ribosomal RNA", at positions 28 to 507 of the family's 1533-position model. The record is from RNAcentral.